AACGCGAAGAACCUUACCCAGGUUAGAAGUGCAGUGGGAGAUAGCAGAGAUGGUAUCGUCCGCAAGGACCGCUGUAUAGGUGCUGCAUGGCUGUCGUCAGCUCGUGCCGUGAGGUGUUGGGUUAAGUCCCGCAACGAGCGCAACCCUUAUCAUUAGUUGCCAACACGAGAGGUGGGGACUCUAAUGAGACUGCCUGGGUUAACCAGGAGGAAGGUGAGGAUGACGUCAAGUCCGCAUGGCCUUUAUGUCUGGGGCUACACACGUGCUACAAUGGUCGGUACAGAAGGCAGCGAAGUUGAGAAAUGGAGCAAAUCCGUAAAGCCGAUCUCAGUUCAGAUUGUAGUCUGCAACUCGACUACAUGAAGUUGGAAUUGCUAGUAAUGACGUGUCAGCAACAACGUCGUGAAUACGUUCCCGGGCCUUGUACACACCGUACGUC
This 439-nucleotide ribosomal RNA is filed under the name uncultured bacterium. RNAcentral's name for it is "bacterial SSU rRNA". It matches the Rfam family "Bacterial small subunit ribosomal RNA", at positions 958 to 1398 of the family's 1533-position model. The record is from RNAcentral.